UCCAUUUCCUCAGAUGUAUGUAGAUAACAAUGGAUUUUUCACCUUCAGUCCAUUAGAUAUGAUGUCCAUCCGUCUGUGUUUGGAAAGGAAAAUGAUAUCUGUCUGUAUUUGUGCAAGUUUCUUCAUGAGGUUGAUGGAUUGCCACUCCAU
Molecule: non-coding RNA, 150 nt
Organism: Chelonoidis abingdonii (Abingdon island giant tortoise)
Lineage: Eukaryota; Metazoa; Chordata; Testudines; Testudinidae
Source: RefSeq, a predicted model, not a curated record